This 253-nucleotide ribosomal RNA is filed under the name uncultured bacterium. Its description in RNAcentral is "partial 16S ribosomal RNA". It matches the Rfam family "Bacterial small subunit ribosomal RNA", at positions 524 to 776 of the family's 1533-position model. The record is from RNAcentral.
UACGAAGGGGGCUAGCGUUGCUCGGAAUCACUGGGCGUAAAGGGUGCGUAGGCGGGUUUUUAAGUCAGGGGUGAAAUCCUGGAGCUCAACUCCAGAACUGCCUUUGAUACUGGGAAGCUCGAGUCCGGGAGAGGUGAGUGGAACUCCGAGUGUAGAGGUGAAAUUCGUAGAUAUUCGGAAGAACACCAGUGGCGAAGGCGGCUCACUGGCCCGGUACUGACGCUGAGGUGCGAAAGCGUGGGGAGCAAACAGG